GGCGGACGGGUGAGUAAUGCCUAGGAAUCUGCCUGGUAGUGGGGGACAACGUCUCGAAAGGGACGCUAAUACCGCAUACGUCCUACGGGAGAAAGUGGGGGCUCUUCGGACCUCACGCUAUCAGAUGAGCCUAGGUCGGAUUAGCUAGUUGGUGAGGUAAUGGCUCACCAAGGCGACGAUCCGUAACUGGUCUGAGAGGAUGAUCAGUCACACUGGAACUGAGACACGGUCCAGACUCUAUACGGGAGGCAGCAGUGGGGAAUAUUGGACAAUGGGCGAAAGCCUGAUCCAGCCAUGCCGCGUGUGUGAAGAAGGUCUUCGGAUUGUAAAGCACUUUAAGUUGGGAGGAAGGGUUGUACGUUAAUACCGUGCAAUUUUGACGUUACCGACAGAAUAAGCACCGGCUAACUCUGUGCCAGCAGCCGCGGUAAUACAGAGGGUGCAAGCGUUAAUCGGAAUUACUGGGCGUAAAGCGCGCGUAGGUGGUUUGUUAAGUUGGAUGUGAAAUCCCCGGGCUCAACCUGGGAACUGCAUCCAAAACUGGCAAGCUAGAGUAGGGCAGAGGGUGGUGGAAUUUCCUGUGUAGCGGUGAAAUG
This 596-nucleotide ribosomal RNA is filed under the name Pseudomonas sp. acu78. Its description in RNAcentral is "bacterial SSU rRNA". It matches the Rfam family "Bacterial small subunit ribosomal RNA", at positions 97 to 688 of the family's 1533-position model. The record is from RNAcentral. RNAcentral also lists the same sequence under 1 other name. Lineage: Bacteria; Pseudomonadati; Pseudomonadota; Gammaproteobacteria; Pseudomonadales; Pseudomonadaceae.